AUUGAACGCUGGCGGCAGGCCUAACACAUGCAAGUCGAGCGGAUGACGGGAGCUUGCUCCUUGAUUCAGCGGCGGACGGGUGAGUAAUGCCUAGGAAUCUGCCUGGUAGUGGGGGACAACGUUUCGAAAGGAACGCUAAUACCGCAUACGUCCUACGGGAGAAAGCAGGGGACCUUCGGGCCUUGCGCUAUCAGAUGAGCCUAGGUCGGAUUAGCUAGUUGGUGGGGUAAUGGCUCACCAAGGCGACGAUCCGUAACUGGUCUGAGAGGAUGAUCAGUCACACUGGAACUGGGACACGGUCCAGACUCCUACGGGAGGCAGCAGUGGGGAAUAUUGGACAAUGGGCGAAAGCCUGAUCCAGCCAUGCCGCGUGUGUGAAGAAGGUCUUCGGAUUGUAAAGCACUUUAAGUUGGGAGGAAGGGCAGUAAGUUAAUUCCCAAGAUGAGUGGACGUUACUCGCAGAAUAAGCACCGGCUAACUCUGUGCCAGCCGCCGCGGUAA
Molecule: ribosomal RNA, 501 nt
Filed under: uncultured bacterium
Lineage: Bacteria
Description: partial 16S ribosomal RNA
Rfam family: Bacterial small subunit ribosomal RNA
Source: RNAcentral